This is a long non-coding RNA of Ctenopharyngodon idella (grass carp), 579 nucleotides long. RefSeq lists it as uncharacterized. Lineage: Eukaryota; Metazoa; Chordata; Actinopteri; Cypriniformes; Xenocyprididae. The transcript is spliced from 3 exons. The record is from RefSeq and is a predicted model, not a curated record.
CUGAACUAGACGGGAUGAGUUCUGAUUCCCUCACCCCAUUCACCCCAGACUCCCGGACAGGACCCACCAUCAGAGAUGACCUGCUUACCUGUGGGAUUCAGAAGAAAACAUUAUUACAAAUAUUGUGAAAUAUUAUUAGAAUUUAAAUUGGAAAGUGAGAAUCUCUGGAGAAAAGCUGCUGAGCACAGGGGGCACAUCUAACGGCUGAGUGAUGGAGGACUGGAUGGGUGACAUGUCAGAGGAGAGGCUGGAGAUUGCUAGAAAAAUGAAGACAGUUAUGAUAUUACCAACAGUAUCAAUUAAUGCUCCUUCAUAUCUCAGGACACUUUAUGGAGUUCUCAGUUAUAUAUUAAGAUAAGUGACUGUGUACCUGAGUGAUUGUCUGACUGAGUGGAUGUUUCCUCACACUGGUCGUCUUUCUCAGCUGGCCAUGGUGCGACCGAAGGCGACUGUGUCUCAUUCUUCUGUGGCGUCUUCAUUUGGCUGUCGGUCCUCGAAUCCUCUGUGCAGACUGUCAUCUUAUUCAAGACCUGAGACGCAGAGAUUUUAACAUGUUUAUUAAAGCAUUACUGUAAAACA